UUGUACACCUGUCUUCUCAUAAACAACUUAAGUACAUAAAGCCCGAAACAACAGCUCCACCCGACCAUUUUCGCAGUAAGGAUCUAAGUAAUAAGAAAAAUGUAUACAUAAAGAAAAGUUUUCAACUGUAAAAACUCCACAGCACCUAGCUAAUUACAAUAUAUCUUACAGACAACGACCUCUUGUGUCAAUAACUCGCAUACAGGCCAUGAAGGAUAUUAUUGUGUGGGAGUGGUGGCACGGAAUUGACUUGAAUGGAUGAAUGGACUCAAUGCAGAAGGUCAAGAAGACAUCCAAUAGGUUUCAGAGAUGGGCCACGACAUGAAAAAGCCCAGUCGACCCUGAAGUCCUGAGCCAGGACUUAGGAACAGCCAGCAGAGCCCUGUGGGAGGAUCUGAGGCUGUGCUCUGGCUCACGGGGGAAACCAUGAAUUGCUUUGAAGCAUGGAGGGGAGACUCAUCUCGCACUCAAAUAUCUCCGUGGGGAAUGGAAAGAUGGCAGAGAUGCAUGCCGAGGCCACUCCUUUUAUCCGGGCCUCGGAAAGAGAAACAUUGGCACCGUUGACAGGGAAAAUGUGACAUUUUCUGCACUGUGAUACCUCACAUCUUCAAAUUGAUGCCUUGUAUGAAAUAGACAGAAGGAGGCGUAAUGAAUGUGCUUCGCUGACACAAAGACGUGCCACCAGGACAUUGUAGGAUCUCAGCUCUUGAGAAUUCUGACUGGUUUGCUUUUUAAAGCACAGAGGGCCAGCUGUUUAUAUUAUUCAAAUUUAGACGGGUUGUAGAAAAUGUGCGUCCAUCUACUAUCGCAGGGGAUAAUAGUUUGGUCGUUUGGUUAUUUCUAAAACCACUCUUUAUGCUAUUUUAGUCAAUCAGACUACAUUGAAAAGUAUUUUCCACGACACUGCUUGAAUUUCUCUUUAUAUACAGCUGAAAUACGGACAAAAGAUUAAAAUGAUUGUCAUUUUCCUCCGUAUUCACGCUGUCAUCUCUGCGUAUCGACUGAGUCAUUUGUCCUUUAUGUGAAAUCUUUCGCUGGUAGGAGACCAUGUUACUGUAUGUGUGGCGUACAAACAGACUCACAGGAGGUCAUGGGAGUUCUGAGCUGACAAUCAAGGGACCAGCUGUCACUCAUAGCCCCAUCACCAGCCGCGCCACGUCAAGUCUUAUGA
Long non-coding RNA from Centropristis striata (black sea bass), 1171 nucleotides. RefSeq lists it as uncharacterized. The record is from RefSeq and is a predicted model, not a curated record. NCBI's taxonomy places the organism in Eukaryota, Metazoa, Chordata, Actinopteri, Perciformes, Serranidae. The transcript has 3 exons.